This 355-nucleotide RNase P RNA is filed under the name Raineyella antarctica. RNAcentral describes it as "Bacterial RNase P class A". It matches the Rfam family "Bacterial RNase P class A". Rfam says of the family: Ribonuclease P (RNase P) is a ubiquitous endoribonuclease, found in archaea, bacteria and eukarya as well as chloroplasts and mitochondria. Its best characterised activity is the generation of mature 5'-ends of tRNAs by cleaving the 5'-leader elements of precursor-tRNAs. Lineage: Bacteria; Bacillati; Actinomycetota; Actinomycetes; Propionibacteriales; Propionibacteriaceae. The record is from Rfam by way of RNAcentral.
CGAGUCGAGCGGACGGCCGCGGCACCUUGGUGCUGAGGAAAGUCCGGGCUCCGAAGAGCAGGGUGGUGGGUAACGCCCACCCGGGGUGACCCGCGGGACAGUGCCACAGAGAACAGACCGCCUGCCGCAAGGCAGGUAAGGGUGAAACGGCGGUGCAAGAGACCACCAGCACCCCAGGUGACUGGGGUGGCUCGGUAAACCCCACCCGGAGCAAGACCACACAGGGAGCGUUCGAGGGCUGCUCGCCCGAGCUUCCGGGUAGGUCGCGUGAGGCCGCUGGCAACAGCGGUCCAAGAUAGAUGGUCGUCGGCGCCCUCGGGCGUCACAGAACCCGGCUUACAGCUCGACUCGUCCC